RNAcentral lists this ribosomal RNA (425 nucleotides) under uncultured bacterium. Its description in RNAcentral is "bacterial SSU rRNA". It matches the Rfam family "Bacterial small subunit ribosomal RNA", at positions 359 to 776 of the family's 1533-position model. The record is from RNAcentral.
GAAUAUUGGACAAUGGGCGCAAGCCUGAUCCAGCCAUGCCGCGUGUGUGAAGAAGGCCUUCGGGUUGUAAAGCACUUUCAGCGAGGAGGAAGGGAUGUAUGUGAAUAGCAUGCAUUUUUGACGUUACUCGCAGAAGAAGCACCGGCUAACUCUGUGCCAGCAGCCGCGGUAAUACAGAGGGUGCAAGCGUUAAUCGGAAUUACUGGGCGUAAAGCGCACGUAGGCGGUUGGUUAAGUUGGAUGUGAAAGCCCCGGGCUCAACCUGGGAAUUGCAUUCAAAACUGGCCAACUAGAAUACGGGAGAGGGGGGUAGAAUUCCAAGUGUAGCGGUGAAAUGCGUAGAGAUUUGGAGGAAUACCAGUGGCGAAGGCGGCCCCCUGGCCCGAUAUUGACGCUGAGGUGCGAAAGCGUGGGGAGCAAACAGG